This is an RNA transcript of Pteropus alecto (black flying fox), 3823 nucleotides long. It is a transcript of the gene named NUMB, endocytic adaptor protein, with no coding region annotated. The record is from RefSeq and is a predicted model, not a curated record. Lineage: Eukaryota; Metazoa; Chordata; Mammalia; Chiroptera; Pteropodidae. The transcript has 14 exons.
GCCUGUUGUCAUGGGGGAGGUGGUGGCGCUUAGUGGCUGGCUACUGGCGGCGGAGGUAGAGGCAGUGGCUCUGGAGUUGGUCGGGGGCAGCGGCAGAUUUGGGCCUUAAGCAACUUCUUCCAGGGAAGAAGGCCCCUGCAGCUGCUGUUGCAACUGAAGAUCUUGAUCCACAUCCAUAGAUCGGAAUAUUGGUGGGCCAACUAUCCUCAGACACCUUACUUAGGACAGAUGAGGAAACUGAGGCUUGGUGAAGUUACGAAACUUGUCCAAAGUCACACAGCUUGUAAAGGGCACAACCAAGAUUCAGAGACAGGUUGUAAAAAUUAAAAUGAACAAACUACGGCAGAGUUUUAGGAGAAAGAAAGAUGUUUACGUUCCAGAGGCCAGUCGUCCACAUCAGUGGCAGACAGAUGAAGAAGGGGUUCGUACCGGAAAAUGUAGCUUCCCAGUUAAGUACCUUGGCCAUGUAGAAGUUGAUGAAUCAAGAGGAAUGCACAUCUGUGAAGAUGCUGUAAAAAGAUUGAAAGCUGAAAGGAAGUUCUUCAAAGGCUUCUUUGGAAAAACUGGAAAGAAAGCAGUUAAGGCAGUCCUGUGGGUAUCAGCAGAUGGCCUCAGAGUUGUGGAUGAAAAAACUAAGGACCUCAUAGUUGACCAGACAAUAGAAAAAGUUUCUUUCUGUGCCCCAGAUAGGAACUUUGAUAGAGCCUUCUCUUACAUAUGUCGUGAUGGCACCACUCGGCGCUGGAUCUGUCAUUGCUUCAUGGCUGUCAAGGACACGGGUGAAAGAUUGAGCCACGCAGUAGGCUGUGCUUUUGCGGCCUGUUUGGAACGUAAGCAGAAGCGGGAGAAGGAAUGUGGAGUGACUGCUACUUUUGAUGCCAGCCGGACCACUUUUACAAGAGAAGGAUCAUUCCGUGUCACAACAGCCACUGAGCAAGCAGAAAGAGAGGAGAUUAUGAAACAAAUUCAAGAUGCGAAGAAAGCUGAAACAGAUAAGACAGUUGCUGGUUCAUCAGCGGCCCCGGGCCACUCCGCCCCGCCCUCCUCCUCCCCCACCUCUCCCACCUCGGAUGCUGCUGGCUCCCUGGAGGUGAGCAACCCUCACGCCAUCCCGCGCAGGCACGCGCCCAUCGAGCAGCUUGCUCGCCAAGGCUCUUUCCGAGGAUUUCCUGCUCUCAGCCAGAAGAUGUCACCCUUCAAGCGCCAGCUGUCCCUGCGCAUCAAUGAGUUGCCUUCCACUAUGCAGAGGAAGACUGAUUUCCCCAUAAAAAAUGCAGUGCCAGAGGUAGAAGGGGAAGCAGAGAGUAUCAGCUCCCUGUGCUCACAGAUCACCAAUGCCUUCAGCACGCCCUCCGAGGAUCCCUUCUCAUCCGCCCCAAUGACCAAACCAGUGACAGCGGUGGCACCCCAAUCUCCUGCCUUUCAAGUAUUGCUCAUUGGCCUGACUGACCCAGCUCCAAGGGGCCACCUGUACACCCCGCAUGAAUUAACUCCAUUGAUGUUGUCUGCUCCCAUUGUAGCUAAUGGCACUGACUCAGCCUUCCAUGUGCUUGCUGCUAAGCCAGCCCAUACUGCUCUAGCACCCGUAGCAAUGCCUGUGCGUGAAACCAACCCCUGGGCCCAUGCCCUUGAUGCUGCUAACAAGGGAAUUGCAGCCACACAUUCGGGGACCGAGUGGGGUCCAUCUUCCGAUGCUGCCUCUCCAGGUCUCUUCCAGGCUGGUCACAGACGUACGCCCUCUGAGGCAGACCGCUGGUUGGAAGAGGUGUCCAAGAGCGUCCGGGCGCAGCAGCCCCCAGGCUCCGCUGUCCCCCUGCAGCCAGUUCUCCAGCCGCCUCCGCCCACGGCCAUCGCCCAGCCCGCGCCGCCUUUCCGAGGGAACGUGUGCCUCGCCUCUCAGCCCGUGCCAGUGGGUGUGGUCCCACCCCUGCAGCCGGCCUUCGUCCCUGCCCAGGCCUAUCCUGUGGCGAAUGGGAUGCCCUAUCCAGCCUCUAAUGUGCCUGUGGUGGGCAUCACUCCCUCCCAGAUGGUGGCCAACGUGUUUGGCACUGCAGGCCACCCUCAGGCCGCUCACCCCCAUCAGUCUCCCAGCCUGGUCAGGCAGCAGACAUUCCCUCCGUAUGAGACAAGCAGUGCUACUGCCAGUCCCUUUUUUAAGCCUCCUGCUCAGCACCUCAACGGUUCUGCGGCUUUCAAUGGUGUAGAUGAUGGCAGGCUGGCCUCAGGAGAUAAGCACACAGAGGUUCCUACAGGCACCUGCCCGGUAGAUCCUUUCGAAGCCCAGUGGGCUGCAUUAGAAAGCAAGUCCAAGCAGCAUACUAACCCCUCCCCCACCAACCCUUUCUCCAGUGACCUACAAAAGACAUUUGAAAUUGAACUUUGAGCAGUCACUAUGGCUUUUGUAUUUUGUCUGUACUUAGGCAAGGGCAGGGGGUGGAGGUUAAAGGAGCAAAGGGGCCUUUGUGUUCCUGAUCAAGUACACUUUUCACUAAUCCCAAAGGUCCCAAGGAGCACGUCCAGGCACGGAGUGCUGUGCGGGGUGAUUUUUGAAAAAAGUGGAGAAAACCAUUCCUAGAGAAGAGCUGUCUUGCAGUUAGGCUAAAGAAGUCGAGGAAGUGUUGCCCACUGGCCCCCUCCUCCUGCCUCAGCCCCUUACAAAUCUCUGGCAAGAGAGCAGACGUAUCUGACCAGGAAUCUGUAUUCAAAGCACAUUUACUGGAAUAUAAAAUAUAAUGGGAAGCAAAACAAUCGCCCUUUGUUUUUCAGGCCAUUCACCUGCCUCCUCUCAGUACUGGCCUGUCUUAGAGAUCAAGAGCAGGGUGGCCUGUGCUUGGGUCAGGGACGAGAGGCAGGCUGUGCUGCCAGAAUUCCCAGGAGGGCACAGCAGCUGCCCGGCAGAGCUAUAUUUUAAGGGUAAAGUUGAGCUUCCAUUUUGAGUAAGAAUAAAUAUUAUAAAUAUAUAUCGAAAAAGCCAAAAUCUUUAUUUUUAUGCAUUUAGAAUAUUUUAAAUAGUUCUCAACAUGAAAAAGUUGUAUGAGUUGUAAGUAAUCUUGCCAAAGGUAAAAGGGUUAGCUGUAAGAAAUUGUACAUAAGAUUGAUUUAUCACUGAUGCCUAUUAAAGUAAAAAGAGGAAAGGUUGAGUGGUGAAGAUGGGACCCCUGGCUAAUUCGGUAUCAGUCACUGUAAGUAGCACAUUGCAACAACAAUCAUGCUUAUGACCAAUACAGUCGCUAGGUUUGUAGUUUUAAAGACAAUGAAAGAGUAGUAUUGUCCUGGUUUUAAACCUGUGAUGAAAUUCUAAUGUCAUUAUUUUAAUGGAAUCAAUCUAAAUAUGCUCUAUAGAGAAUAUGUAUUUUCUGUUAUAUAUUGCUGCAGUUUCCAGUUUCCUUAUGUUAAUCCUUUACUUUGUUUUAACACUAAGGUGACAAUGACGUCAUUCAUAUCCAUAGACUGGAACACAGGUUACUAUGUUGGUUUGUCAUGUGGGUCUUGGUGGGUUUUGUUUUGUCCUUUAGGUUUUGUUCUCAUGAGUUUUGUGGGGGAUGGAGAUUCUGGUUUUAUUAUCUGUGUGUGUGUGUGUGUGUGUGUGUGUGUGUGUGUGUGUGUGUGUGUGUCCGUCCCCGUCCCCAUCCCCCUCCCCCUCCCUUGUGAUGAUGAAAACAUCUCGUUGUCAGUUGCAGCCCCUUGACCUCUGGUAACAACGCGAGAUCCCAUCUCAUUUUUACUUUUAAACGUUGGCCUUACAAUCAAAUGUAAGUUAUAUAUAUUUGUACUGAUGAGAAUUUAUAAUCUGCUUUAACAAAAAUAAAUGUUCGUGGUAGAA